UUUCAACAGGGUUUUUGUCCCAUGAUUCAUAGUUUAAUUUAAAUUUGGGGCCCCAGAUUUCACAUCCAUAGAGGAGAAUGGGUUUGAUGAUGCUAUCGAAGAUUUUCAGCCACAGUUUAAUGGGUGGGUUGAAUCUGAACAGGGGUCGUCUUAUACUGUAAAAAGCCCUGCGUGCCUUAUCCGUCAGAUCUUUGAUUGCAGUAUUGAGCCGUCCAGAGGCUGAGAUCGUCAGACCCAAAUAAUUAUAACAGGGGAAAAUAACAGAGGAAACAAAAACAAACAUGGAUUCAAUUCAGUUCUGUCAGCCCCUCAUCAUGUCAGUCGACAGGUGGAUCCUGUUCACCAAAGGGGAAGGUGCUGGUGGGCUUCCCACAGCAGGGGCCCUUGUUCCAGGCUGCGAUGAGUGAUGAGGGCCGUCCUCCAGCGGAAGAUGGUCCUUUCCUCCCUAUUCCUCCACUCCAUUCAUGAGCAACUUGACCACAAGAUCUGUCAAUCAAGCUCAGUGUGUGUGAAUAAAAAUACUGAGGCGGCUGCUGAUUGGCCGGUCUCGCAGCAGAUAAAAGACUGGGGCUUAUUAAAACUGUCAAUAGCAUUGUCCUGAAGAAUGCUUUGAGAAGACUGAGAUUCAUUUGAGGAAUUCCACUAUGCUUGAUGGCUGAUGAACUGUUAGGAAGGGCUUGGUGUGUAUGCGUGCAUUCAGACGUUUAAGAAAAAAACAUGCCUUUUUAUUUUUUUGCUUUUUUGUCAGUUUAAUUUCAUGCAACAAUACCUAGAGAGGGUAGGAGUGAUUGGGAAAUAGAGGUGAAGGGUGAGCUGUCUGCAUAAGC
This is a long non-coding RNA of Onychostoma macrolepis, 827 nucleotides long. RefSeq lists it as uncharacterized. Lineage: Eukaryota; Metazoa; Chordata; Actinopteri; Cypriniformes; Cyprinidae. The record is from RefSeq and is a predicted model, not a curated record. The transcript has 3 exons.